RNAcentral lists this non-coding RNA (162 nucleotides) under uncultured Catenibacillus sp. Lineage: Bacteria; Bacillati; Bacillota; Clostridia; Lachnospirales; Lachnospiraceae. The record is from RNAcentral.
AGUUUUGUGGUUGCUGUUAGCACAGCAUUGAAAGGGAAUCCGGUGAGAAUCCGGAACAGUCACCUCUACUGUGAUGCGGACGAUGAAAUCAUAACCAUUGGCACUGCCGAGAAGGGAUUUCGGAGGAGGAAGCAAAGUCAGGAGACCUGCCAUUAUAUUUUA